This is a non-coding RNA of Urocitellus parryii (Arctic ground squirrel), 821 nucleotides long. The record is from RefSeq and is a predicted model, not a curated record. NCBI's taxonomy places the organism in Eukaryota, Metazoa, Chordata, Mammalia, Rodentia, Sciuridae.
ACCCGGGCCGCACGCAUGCCAGGCAAGUGCGAUACCGCUUGAGCCACAUCUCCAGCCCCAAAAUUGGAAAUACUUAAUGACAACAAACUUGGAGGGAUAGAGAGCUAUAUCCAGCCAUGCAACAAGGACAUCUCAUGAAAAAAAUUGCUUGAUCUACAGGAGGAAUAAGGCCUUGCCUUGCAGAGUGAUUCUUAUUGGGAGCAUUUAUUGAGCAGGUACAGCUUACUACAUCAUAGAAGUUGCCAGGGGAAUUCAAGAGAUGCAGGAAUGAACUACUCAUUAAGUCCAGAAGCAAGCCAGCAUGAUACCAAUAAAAGUGAUGUGGUCUUAAUUAUAGUUUUGGUCUCCCUAACAAGACAGGAAGAGUAGAUUGGAAAGACUGGACCCAAGGAAGAAAGAUCAGUUUUUGGUUUCUUGAGCUGUGAUGCUAAGGCAGGUAGGCAGCCAGGUCUGCUGAGAACAAGUUUCAACAGUGAAAAAUUUCUUUUUCACCUCAGGGUGACUGGCCUCUCUCUGUAUCUGAUGGUCAGGCCUCGGUCAUUUCUAUCAGUUUGUUUAUCCUUUCCCCAACCCCCAUCAGCUGGAUAUUAAGAACAGCAGUGAGUAUUGGUUGAGGAGUGGUUGAGUCAGUGGCAAAAUGGCUCCUCAAAGUCAUUUUUUAUGAGCCCAACUGACAAUUAGAAAUAAAAAGUGAUGCCUUAUUUUUUUCAUUGUUACUUUAGCGCUUUCCUACUAGGGAAAGAGUCAAGCAGAAGGAUCCUGCUCUUACAAAACACGUUCACCCUAGAUUCAUAUUUCUUAUACUCUAUUUUCUGUGAAUA